CACGUUUUUUCCCCGCCUUUUCCAAGCCACGCCCAACCCCCCGCCCCGCCCCCACUUCACAAAACCCCUCCCACACUUCCAUAUUUGGCGUUUAGGGGGCGGAGACUUCCGGGGAGGGGGCGUGUCCGGCGGCUGCCCCACAAGUGAAGCUCUUGGGGAGGGGGGAGGGGUUUCAAAGUUCCGUUUUCUGCCCCAAAAAUCCCAAUUUUGGGGUCUUUAAAAGUUCCUUUUUCUGCCCCAAAAUGAAACUCGAGGGGGGGGGAAACUCAAAGUUCGUUUUUUUUUGCCCCAAAAAAGUCGAAAUUUUGGGGUUUUAAAGUCGAUUUUUCUGCCCCAUAAGUGAAGUUUGGGGUCUUAAAGUUCCUUUUUCUGCCCCAUAAGUGAAAUUUUGGGGUUUUAAAGUUGCUUUUUCUGCCCCAUAAGUUGAGAUUUGGGGUCUUAAAGUUGAUUUUUCUGCCCCAUAAGUGAAGUUUGGGGUCUUAAAGUUGAUUUUUCUGCCCCACAAGUGAACUUGGGGGUCGCUGGAGUCGAUUUUCUGCCCCACAAGUUGAGAUUUGGGGUCUUAAAAUCCGAUCUCUGCCCCACAAGUGAAGUUUGGGGUCUUGAAGUUGAUUUUUCUGCCCCACAAGUGAACUUGGGGGUCGCUGGAAUCCGUUUCUGCCCCACAAGUGGAAAUUUGGGGUCUCAGGCUCCGUUUCUGCCCCAUAGAUGGAAUUUUGGGGGGUCCAAGUCCAUUCUCUGCCCCACAAGUGGAACUUGGGGGUCUCCAGGUGCCCCACAAGUGAAUUUUGGGGGUCUCCAAGUCCAUUCUCUGCCCCAUAGAUGGAAUUUGGGGGGUCCAAGUCCAUUUCCUGCCCCACAAGUGGAACUUGGGGGUCUCGGGCUCCGUCUCUGCCCCACAAGUGAAAUUUUGGGCGUCUCCAAGUCCGUUCUCUGCCCCACAAGUGAACUUUGGGUUCUCAAGUCCAUUCUCUGCCCCACAAGUGGAACUUGGGGGUCUCGGGCUCCGUUUCUGCCCCACAAGUGAAUUUUGGGGGUCUCCAAGUCCAUUCUCUGCCCCAUAGAUGGAAUUUUAGGGGGUCCAAGUCUCGUUCUCUGCCCCACAAGUGGAACUUGGGGGUCUCAGGUUCCAUUUCCUGCCCCAUAGAUGGAAUUUUGGGGGGUCCAAG
RNAcentral lists this long non-coding RNA (1169 nucleotides) under Cyanistes caeruleus (blue tit). RNAcentral's name for it is "lncRNA (ENSCCEG00000006118.1)". Lineage: Eukaryota; Metazoa; Chordata; Aves; Passeriformes; Paridae. The record is from RNAcentral.